This 764-nucleotide non-coding RNA is filed under the name Pongo abelii (Sumatran orangutan). The record is from RNAcentral. Lineage: Eukaryota; Metazoa; Chordata; Mammalia; Primates; Hominidae.
UCUCUAGUCAAGCAUGGUUUAUGGUGCCAAAUAAGUGCCAGGUGAACUCACUACAUCUGACAAAAUCUCAAGGAACCAAGUUUACCAGAUAAUAUUUAUGAUUAUGUGAAAAAGACUGAGGAAAUCACUCUAGUGAUCCAUCAUACAGCACCUCCAGUUCCAAAGAAUACUGACUUACUUCAGCUGUACUGGUCUGGAGCUGCACAUUCUUUUCAGACAACUCUUGUUCCAAUAAGUUCAGGCUAGAGUGCAAUGGUGCAACCUCAGCUCACUGCAACCUCCGCUUCCCAGGUUCAAGCGAUUCUCCUGCUUCAGCCUCCCUGGUUGCUGGGAUUACAGGCGCUCGUCACCACGCGCAGCUAAUUUUUUGUAUUUUUAGUAGAGACGGGGUUUUACCAUGUUGGCCAGGCUGGUCUCGAACUCCUGACCUCAGGUGAUCCACCCGCCUCAGCCCCCCAAAGUUCUGAGAUUACAGACAUGAGACACCACACCCGACUGGGGUAUUCAUUUUCUAAAAUCUUAAGUUGAAUGCCUUUUUUUAAAAAAAAAGUCUAUUUAAACUCUGAGUUUACUACCAAGGAUUGCCUUGACUAGAUUUUCAGAGGCAGUAUUUUUCUUUUUUCUUAUUUUCUAAAUUGAACUUUUCUUUCUUGGCUCACAUUCUACAUUGUAGAAUUAUGUUACAAUUUACUAGGGGUCGAGAUGUGGUGUGUUUAAACAUAUGAUUGUUUGGCUUAAACAUAUAAUUUGUUUUUACUCGUAUU